Drosophila kikkawai is the source of this 448-nucleotide non-coding RNA. The record is from RefSeq and is a predicted model, not a curated record. Lineage: Eukaryota; Metazoa; Arthropoda; Insecta; Diptera; Drosophilidae.
GUAUGUACAUAUGCAAGUACACGUACGCCGCUGAUCGCAAGAAGUAACGCUUUUAAAAGUAAAGUUAGUGUACAGAUUAAAAUAUAUACAUAUGUACAUAUAUGCAUAUAUGUAAAAUCUUAUAUUUGGCACUGAUCUUUGAUUGCCUCUCUUUAUUUUACAAUUUAAAUAGCGAUCAGCGGACAUGUACAUGCAUGCAAAUGUAUUUUUUGGCUUCUUGUUGACUUGCGAUGGCAACCAUCUCAGGCGAGUGCGAGCAAGAUAGCUGGCACUGACAUCCAAAAACCGUGAGAGUAUACACAUGUAACUAUAAAACAUAACUAUGUAAAUGGAAUCAACAAAAUAAAAGCUAUAGUCGAGACAAAAGUACCAGUUCGGAUGUGAAAUAUGGACUAAUAUAUAUUUGAAAUAUAUAUAUAUAAGUCCAUAAUAUUAUUAAUUAAGACCC